GGAUGAACGCUGGCGGCGUGCUUAACACAUGCAAGUCUGGGGGAAACUUGCUUCGGCGAGGCGGAUACCGGCGGACGGGUGAGUAACACGUGGAUAAUCUGCCCCUAUCACAGGGAUAACGUCGGGAAACUGACGCUAAUACCUGAUGAGGCGUUUACGUCAAAGCUUCGGCGGAUAGGGAUGAGUCUGCGUCUAAUUAGCUUGUUGGUGGGGUAACGGCUCACCAAGGCGACGAUUAGUAGCUGGUUUGAGAGGAUGAUCAGCCACACCGGAACUGAGACACGGUCCGGACUCCUACGGGAGGCAGCAGUGAGGAAUUUUGGGCAAUGGGGGCAACCCUGACCCAGCGACGCCGCGUGCAGGAUGACAGCCCUUCGGGUUGUAAACUGCUUUCGGGUAGGAAGAAAAGCCGGGUCUCCCGGCCGGGACAGUACUGCCAGAAGAAGCACCGGCAAACUACGUGCCAGCAGCCGCGGUAAUACGUAGGGUGCGAGCGUUAUCCGGAAUUACUGGGUAUAAAGGGUGCGUAGGCGGGCUUGUGCGUCGAUGGUUAAAGACCGGGGCUUAACUCCGGGAAUGUCAUCGAUACGGCAGGUCUUGAAUGUGAGAGAGGAUGAUGGAAUUCCUGGUGUAGCGGUGAAAUGCGUAGAUAUCAGGAGGAACACCGGUAGCGAAGGCGGUCAUCCGGCUCAUUAUUGACGCUGAGGCACGAAAGCGUGGGGAGCGAACAGGAUUAGAUACCCUGGUAGUCCACGCCAUAAACGAUGUAUGCUUGGUUGUUCCCUCUCGUAGGGAGUGCCGGAGGAAAUCCGUUAAGCAUACCACCUGGGGAGUACGAUCGCCAGGUUGAAACUCCAAGGAAUUGACGGGGGCCCGCACAAGCGGUGGAUUAUGUGGUUUAAUUCGAUUGCACGCGAAGAACCUUACC
RNAcentral lists this ribosomal RNA (928 nucleotides) under uncultured organism. RNAcentral's name for it is "bacterial SSU rRNA". It matches the Rfam family "Bacterial small subunit ribosomal RNA", at positions 27 to 975 of the family's 1533-position model. The record is from RNAcentral.